This is a long non-coding RNA of Daphnia pulicaria, 1124 nucleotides long. RefSeq lists it as uncharacterized. The record is from RefSeq and is a predicted model, not a curated record. Lineage: Eukaryota; Metazoa; Arthropoda; Branchiopoda; Diplostraca; Daphniidae. The transcript has 2 exons.
GGUACAGCCAUGUCCACCACGCGUCCGACUUCCGGGCGGCAGCCAACCAAAUCUCAAUUGUGAAAAUCAGUCGAGGGGUUGGUUUUCGCCCACCAGGUGGCACUCGAAUUCGUGCCUAGUCAUGUAUUGGACGGGGAACUGGGGAGGAUCGUCUGCUGUCUGUGUGUCUGUCUAGCGUGUCACGAAAUUUCUUACUGUGUGAUUCAAGUGCUCUACCAACACUAUUAGUUUGUGUGGAGGAAAAGAUGUCAUCUUUAAUUGUGACCAUAAUCUGCCUUGCUCUGUUUGGGUGAAAACAGAAGAAUAAAUUUGGAAAAAGCUGUUGGAUCAGACGAGUUAUGGACUUCAAGAAAAUUUGGUAUCAGAACACUUGGCUAACCCAAUAACCUUCCACUUUUGGUUGCAGUUUGCAAAACAGCUGACAGACGCCCGUUCCCAAGUCCAAGGAGUUCUGUCGUGGCAAGCUGAUUGCGCAGCAACUGGAGAAAGUGUUUGUCGAGCAAACAAACUGCCAUGUCAAAUUCUUGUACCAAGACGAAAUCAGUGGCCAUAUUUCCAUCUUGGCUGCCACAAGUCCCGUUUUCUCUGCCAUGUUUUACCACAACCUUCAAGAGUCCAUGACGGGCAAAGUCUUAUUCGUCCAAGACAUCCGGCCACAGAUUUUCAAGGAGAUGCUACAUUACAUUUACUCCGGCCAGACUUUGGCUCCUUUGACGGACGCCAUGGCUCAACCUCUGUUCGUAGUUUCAAACAAAUACGCUAUCGAGGACCUGAAUGAGAAGUGCGUCCGUUAUCUGCUGAGAAGCAUCCGGACGAGUAAUGCCGUUGACUUAUUGGUCUGGGCAAAUCAUCUUCAUUCGGUGGAGAAAAUCGAAGAAGCGGCUCUUGACUUUGUGGCCAGAAAUUUCAAAAUCAUUUGUCAGUCGAAUGAAUGGCAGAACCUGAUGAAGAACUAUCCGGAGCUUGGAUUCCUGGUGGCUCGACGUUAUGUGUAGUAGCUGUUUUAAAAGAAAUACGCCAGCCGAAGAGUUUUGUAUAACUUUAAAUGGUCAGACAUUUGUCGUUUAUUUGUGUAAUGUUUAAUGUUUGAAGCUUCAUCGAUAAUAAAGACGAUUUCUUUUUUA